This 96-nucleotide ribosomal RNA is filed under the name Acinetobacter baumannii ABNIH15. RNAcentral's name for it is "partial 23S ribosomal RNA". The stretch from base 1 to 86 matches the Rfam family "Bacterial large subunit ribosomal RNA", at positions 2840 to 2925 of the family's 2925-position model. The record is from RNAcentral. Lineage: Bacteria; Pseudomonadati; Pseudomonadota; Gammaproteobacteria; Moraxellales; Moraxellaceae.
CGAGACUAGGACGUUGAUAGGUUGGAUGUGGAAGCAUAGUGAUAUGUGAAGCUGACCAAUACUAAUUGCUCGUGAGGCUUGACUAUACAACACCCA